UAGGGAAUCUUCGGCAAUGGGGGGAACCCUGACCGAGCAACGCCGCGUGAGUGAAGAAGGUUUUCGGAUCGUAAAGCUCUGUUGUUAAGGAAGAACGAGUGUGAGAAUGGAAAGUUCAUGCUGUGACGGUACUUAACCAGAAAGGGACGGCUAACUACGUGCCAGCAGCCGCGGUAAUACGUAGGUCCCGAGCGUUGUCCGGAUUUAUUGGGCGUAAAGCGAGCGCAGGCGGUUAGAAAAGUCUGAAGUGAAAGGCAGUGGCUCAACCAUUGUAGGCUUUAGAAACUCUUUAACGUGAGUGCAGAAGGGGAGAGUGGAAUUCCAUGUGUAGCGGUGAAAUGCGUAGAUAUAUGGAGGAACACCGGUGGCGAAAGCGCAUCUCUGGACUGUAACUGACGCUGAGGCUCGAAAGCGUGGGGAGCGAACAGG
RNAcentral lists this ribosomal RNA (429 nucleotides) under Bacteroidota bacterium. RNAcentral describes it as "Bacteroidetes bacterium partial 16S ribosomal RNA". It matches the Rfam family "Bacterial small subunit ribosomal RNA", at positions 355 to 776 of the family's 1533-position model. The record is from RNAcentral. Lineage: Bacteria; Pseudomonadati; Bacteroidota.